CAUCCCUUCUGGCAGUGUUUCUAGUUCAAUUGCAAAGUAAAGACGUGUAACGAGUACAACGGAUUUCGGGAUUUUUAUUCAUACACACACACACACACACAGAUCAAAAACCUAAAAAACAAGAAAUAUAAAUUAUUGAUAGGCCAAGAAGCAAGAAGCAGAGAGAGAAUGUGAAAAAGAAGAGUAAAACACAACAACACAGCAUGAACUGAAAAAAAGGCCAAAAGUUUAGGAAUUCAAUGAGGAAAUGUGAAAAGUGUUGAGGAAGUUUUUUUUUAUUCGUUUAUUUGGUAUGCCUUGAAACAAUCAAAUUAAACUAGAAAUCCGUUUGAAAGGAAAUUUGAAUAUAAGCGUGGCGUGAAACGUGAAUUCCCAACAAAAAAGAAAUGUGAUGAUGCAGAGCUAAAGCCUAGCCAUAAACUUGCCAAAAAAAAAAUAGAGAAAAAUCACACGCACAUCACACGCUCUCGUUGUACAUAAGGUGAAGUGAGAUAUGUGAGUGUCAGCUUGCCAAAAAAUAUAUAAAAAUAAGCACAAGAAGAGGAAGAAAAAUUACGAAGCUUAGAGCAAAGGAAACCGUUACAAAACCAGCAAAACAGCAACAACAAAAAAAUCAUUUGCUACAAAAAUAUUUAUAUAUGAAAAACGUGGCAUCCAAAACGAAAUUCUAUGAAUAAAUUAAUAAAAUUUCACACAACCCUUGGGCGGGGGUAAAACGUGCAAGAGAACGAAUCCUUUACGACGUCAUCUCCUGCGACAUCUCCUUCCUAUGGUUGUUCCGUGGGUGCCCAGGUGUGCGUAUGAGUGAUUUCAGCAUUUAAAUAAAUUUCAUGAAUAAUAAUACAAAACGAGCUAAAAUAUUGCUAAAACAAAAUAAUGAAAAUGAAAAUAUUACACACAGUGAGUAGUGAAAGUGUGCAGUGAUGGUCUCGAAGGUGGCGUGAUAAGUGAUUUGCGUAAGGCAGAAAGCGGUAAAUUAAGCUGCCCACCUUGGUACAUAUAUGCGGUAGUUAUGAUGAUGGCGAUAAUGAUGAUGUGGAUGAUGGAAGCAUGAAGGAUUGAAAUGAGAUGCAAAAACCAUAUCAAGGUAACAUGCAAAUGAAACCAGGCGAAACGUUAAAAGAGUUUUAUGGGGCAUAAAAUAAUAACAAACCACAUAGCCAAACAACAACCAGAAGAAGAAACACUAGAAGUGCAGUGUAGCGAAGUGAAACCCUUAAACUCCCCAUACACAUCUAAGUUUUCCCUUAGACAAAAAGAAAACACACACCAACAUAUUCACUGUUUAAGGCUUAAAUUCAAACAAUUGCAAAAAUAAAGCUUAACAAAGGCAACGAAGUUGGAUUCCUCAAAAGUAAAAGGCAAGGCAUUGUCGUAGUCGCCUUCGUUGUUGCUUUCGUCAUCUCGUAUUGUGUCGUUGUACUCUUAGGCAUCAUCUGUGUGUAGAGUGCCCAUCGACGUGGCUUGUCAUAGGCUGAAGGGGCUGCUGUAUGUAGGCAUGUCAUCAUUUGAUAGAGUUAUACAGUGUGUUUGUGUGCAUGUGUGCCCCCAGUGAGUGUAAGAGAGAAAGUGUGGCUAAUGUCUAACGUUGAAUGUGGUGUAAAAUUGCCUGGCUGCUCAAGGAUUACAACGAAAUAAAACAACAACAAUAAUAAAUAAACUUGUAGCAAGUACCUUGGUCCAUACACAUACUCACAUACAUACAUACAUACCUAUAUAUGCAUGUAUGAGUAGACCUUGUAAACAGCCAUUCAACCUGAUAACGAAUGCUGUACACUUUUGGACCACACACACACGCACUAAAGGAGCAUGUGAAUGAUGGUGAUGAUGCCCUAGUCUUGGUAGCUGCUAAAUGAUUAAGGAUAACAUACAAUAUAAAUUACCAGGACAAGCAACAAAACAACAAUAACAGCAGCAGCAAGAACAACAACAACAACAGCUAUAACAUUUUUAAGCACCUAAGCAGCCACAACAAAAACAAACAAGGUUACAAGGACAAUCAGCAAUGGCUAGCUUAAAACUAAUCAAAUGAAAAUCAAUACAAACAAAGGACAAGGCAACAAAAGGAAACCCUGAAAAAUAGCCACAGGCAAGUGCUCCCCUUGGCAGCUUCAACCCCCCGCUGGGGCAGGAACCCAAAGGAAUUGGGGAAUAUUAAUAUUAGUAACCAAAGAAAUAAACAAAAGUGUCAAGGGAGAAACAUCAAAAAA
Long non-coding RNA from Stomoxys calcitrans (stable fly), 2210 nucleotides. RefSeq lists it as uncharacterized. The transcript is spliced from 3 exons. The record is from RefSeq and is a predicted model, not a curated record. Lineage: Eukaryota; Metazoa; Arthropoda; Insecta; Diptera; Muscidae.